GACGGGCAAAGAUAGGCAGAGAAGCGGGACGACUUUCCAAGGAAGGGUCCCUGUCUCCUCCUGCAGUAUUUGUUUUCCCUACAUGAGCCUCAGUGAGAAUCUGGACUUUCGCUGCAGUCAAGUAGAUCCAGGAAGAGGAAUUUCCGCGGUUGCCCAGCAGGAGCCCAGGGGUAUCUAUAAAGAGUGGAAUGUCAGCUGGUGACCAGUAAGUACCAGGACUGCCUGCCCUUUGGAAAAAAUUCUGGGAGACAG
Long non-coding RNA from Lemur catta (Ring-tailed lemur), 252 nucleotides. RefSeq lists it as uncharacterized. NCBI's taxonomy places the organism in Eukaryota, Metazoa, Chordata, Mammalia, Primates, Lemuridae. The transcript is spliced from 3 exons. The record is from RefSeq and is a predicted model, not a curated record.